Molecule: ribosomal RNA, 774 nt
Filed under: Arthrobacter sp. H66-CRBM-T2P21
Lineage: Bacteria; Bacillati; Actinomycetota; Actinomycetes; Micrococcales; Micrococcaceae
Description: bacterial SSU rRNA
Rfam family: Bacterial small subunit ribosomal RNA
Source: RNAcentral
UGCAGUCGAACGAUGACUUCUGUGCUUGCACAGAAUGAUUAGUGGCGAACGGGUGAGUAACACGUGAGUAACCUGCCCUUGACUUCGGGAUAAGCCUGGGAAACCGGGUCUAAUACCGGAUACGACCUCCUGGCGCAUGCCAUGGGGGUGGAAAGCUUUAUUGCGGUUUUGGAUGGACUCGCGGCCUAUCAGCUUGUUGGUUGGGGUAAUGGCCCACCAAGGCGACGACGGGUAGCCGGCCUGAGAGGGUGACCGGCCACACUGGGACUGAGACACGGCCCAGACUCCUACGGGAGGCAGCAGUGGGGAAUAUUGCACAAUGGGCGAAAGCCUGAUGCAGCGACGCCGCGUGAGGGAUGACGGCCUUCGGGUUGUAAACCUCUUUCAGCAGGGAAGAAGCGAAAGUGACGGUACCUGCAGAAGAAGCGCCGGCUAACUACGUGCCAGCAGCCGCGGUAAUACGUAGGGCGCAAGCGUUAUCCGGAAUUAUUGGGCGUAAAGAGCUCGUAGGCGGUUUGUCGCGUCUGCUGUGAAAGCCCGGGGCUCAACCCCGGGUCUGCAGUGGGUACGGGCAGACUAGAGUGAUGUAGGGGAGACUGGAAUUCCUGGUGUAGCGGUGAAAUGCGCAGAUAUCAGGAGGAACACCGAUGGCGAAGGCAGGUCUCUGGGCAUUAACUGACGCUGAGGAGCGAAAGCAUGGGGAGCGAACAGGAUUAGAUACCCUGGUAGUCCAUGCCGUAAACGUUGGGCACUAGGUGUGGGGGACAUUCCACG